This 1477-nucleotide unclassified non-coding RNA is filed under the name Hevea brasiliensis (rubber tree). The record is from RNAcentral. Lineage: Eukaryota; Viridiplantae; Streptophyta; Magnoliopsida; Malpighiales; Euphorbiaceae.
AAAAUGUACUAUUUAGUUAUUCAAUAAAUAGGGGGUAAAAAGUUAUUCAAAAAAUGAUGGAUCUAUUAAUAAACUAAACUAAAAUUGCAUCACAUGAGGAGCUAAUCUCAUCAACCUAUCCAAAGCAUUAGGCAUAAACUUCCUUGCAAACAAGAAGCAAAUAUGAAUCCUUCUCCCAUUGUAUUCACAUCCCUUAUUUCCAUUUCUCCUCAGCCUCUCCAAGAAUUCCCUAGUGAUUUCCAUCCUCCCAAACCUGUUUGGAUGGGGUCCACCCUUUGACCAGUCAACCCAUGUCACAGUCCUAUUUGAAUUCCUCCUCCAAAACUUGAUGCUAACAAAAGUUGGCAAGUAGUGUUCAUCCCCAUAACAUGAGCCCUUGCAAAAUCUCCGAAAUAUUGGGAAGUAUUUCCUGUCCGAGACUACCUCAAUGGCAAGCUUGCGAUCCAUCUCGAACCAUUGGGAGCCCUUUCGCCAUUGAUCAAGUUGAAUUGUGGGUUUCAUUCUUGGGUUAUAUCGACCGCGGCCAACUGGGCCGGGCAGGUCAUAGACCUCUAGAAAAGAUUUUGAUGAGCCCAUUAAGUAGUGGUAGAUUGUGGAGAAGUUGAACAGGGGAAUGCAGGACUCUGAUAGGAGAACAAAGCGUUGAUUGGAUAUGUCCAACAAUGCAUUAGCUAAUAGGAGUCGCUCUGCUUCAACCAUUGUGAAUUUUCCCCAUUGCACCUCCUUGCUUGGGAUCCUCCUGCCAUAGAACACAGAAUUGGAGGGCACUGUUUCAUUGAAAGAUGGAUUGGAAUGCACGUAAAUUGAGUACAAUCCUUUAUGACCUUUAAAGAACAAUUCCCACAGAGGAGCCAAAGGCAAAGGCCCUCUUGUCAAGAACAAGAAUGCAACCUUUGGGACACGCUUGAAUGGAAAUUCUCCAACAUGGGGAACCAUUGACGCUCUCCAUAACAACUCUUCUUCUUUCAUAUCAUGGGAGACGUUUGGCACUCUCAAGAACUCUUUCAACCCGGUUCGAUUCCUCGUUUGAUUCAAGAACUCACCCAAAGGUAAAAGCUGCGAGGGGGGCGGCGAAAUCAGUGAAAAUGAUGAAGAGGGUUUAGAUGGUGAAAUCUGGCUUUGGAUGGAGAAUUGAUUGAGUUGAAAGUUGAAAGAAAUAUCUUUGAGAUAGAAACUAAGAGUUAUACCAAAGGCUAAACCGCAGCCAAAUAGAAGGAAAUAGGAGAUGAAGUGAUGGAGCUGCAUUUGGCCAUUGAUGAGUUUGGAUGAGGUCUGUGCAUGGCGCAGUUGCUGAUCUAUGGUCUUCAUCUCGUUGGAAAAUACAGAGAUAGAGACAGAGAGAGACAGAGGGACAAGAACAGUAGAGAAGAAGAAUUUUGGUCGUGUGAAAUGAAGUAACGGACGGUUUGGCUUUUGGUGGAGUUGGACUGAAGUUAUUAUAUCGUUCGUAUUAAUAGCUGAUUAUGGAGAGAGAGAG